This 497-nucleotide ribosomal RNA is filed under the name uncultured bacterium. Its description in RNAcentral is "partial 16S ribosomal RNA". It matches the Rfam family "Bacterial small subunit ribosomal RNA", at positions 28 to 507 of the family's 1533-position model. The record is from RNAcentral.
GAUGAACGCUGGCGGCGUGCCUAAUACAUGCAAGUCGAGCGAACGGACGAGAAGCUUGCUCCUCUGAUGUUAGCGGCGGACGGGUGAGUAACACGUGGAUAACCUACCUAUAAGACUGGGAUAACUUCGGGAAACCGUAGCUAAUACCGGAUAAUAUUUUGAACCGCAUGGUUCAAAAGUGAAAGACGGUCUUGCUGUCACUUAUAGAUGGAUCCGCGCUGCAUUAGCUAGUUGGUAAGGUAACGGCUUACCAAGGCAACGAUGCAUAGCCGACCUGAGAGGGUGAUCGGCCACACUGGAACUGAGACACGGUCCAGACUCCUACGGGAGGCAGCAGUAGGGAAUCUUCCGCAAUGGGCGAAAGCCUGACGGAGCAACGCCGCGUGAGUGAUGAAGGUCUUCGGAUCGUAAAACUCUGUUAUUAGGGAAGAACAUAUGCGUAAGUAACUGUGCACAUCUUGACGGUACCUAAUCAGAAAGCCACGGCUAACUACGUG